UCUUCUGUCUCCGACGGUAAAGAAUCUGCUUCCAAUGCAGGAGACCCAGGUUCAAUCCCUGGGUCAAGAA
This 70-nucleotide transfer RNA is filed under the name Bos taurus (domestic cattle). It matches the Rfam family "tRNA". From Rfam's summary of the family: Transfer RNA (tRNA) molecules are approximately 80 nucleotides in length. Their secondary structure includes four short double-helical elements and three loops (D, anti-codon, and T loops). Lineage: Eukaryota; Metazoa; Chordata; Mammalia; Artiodactyla; Bovidae. RNAcentral also lists the same sequence under 3 other names. The record is from Rfam by way of RNAcentral.